This 54-nucleotide transfer RNA is filed under the name Strongyloides stercoralis. RNAcentral describes it as "transfer RNA-Pro". The record is from RNAcentral. Lineage: Eukaryota; Metazoa; Nematoda; Chromadorea; Rhabditida; Strongyloididae.
CAGUAAUUAGUUUAAUUAAAAUAUAACAUUUGGAUUGUUAAGUUUUUUUACUGA